Molecule: ribosomal RNA, 476 nt
Filed under: uncultured bacterium
Lineage: Bacteria
Description: partial 16S ribosomal RNA
Rfam family: Bacterial small subunit ribosomal RNA
Source: RNAcentral
AGUGAACGCUGGCGGCGUGCUUAACACAUGCAAGUCGAACGGAUGAAAUAAGCUUGCUUAUUUCGUUAGUGGCGCACGGGUGAGUAAUGUAUAGCUAACCUGCCCUUUAGUGGGGGACAACAGUUGGAAACGACUGCUAAUACCCCAUACUCCUUCUUAUCAUAAGGUAAGUCGGGAAAGAUUUAUUGCUAAAGGAUGGGGCUUUAUUGUAUCAGCUUGUUGGUGGGGUAAUGGCCUACCAAGGCGAUGACGCAUACCUGGUCUGAGAGGAUGGUCGGGCACACUGGAACUGAGACACGGUGCAGACUCCUACUGGAGGCAGCAGUGGGGAAUAUUGCACAAUGGGGGAAACCCUGAUGCAGCAACGCCGCGUGGAGGAUGACGCAUUUCGGUGUGUAAACUCCUUUUAUAAGGGAAGAUAAUGACGGUACCUUAUGAAUAAGCACCGGCUAACUCCGUGCCAGCCGCCGCAGUAA